GAUCAUCUAUGCUUACUUGGGUAUUCUCAUGGGAUUCAGAAGUGACAAAUAACCAAAUCUUGUUUUUAUUUUGCUGUCUUUCCUUGCAAUGAAAUAGGAAAGACUGGAUUACUAGCCGUGGGUGUUUCAAAACAAAGUAGUCACUUUUAAACGCUGUACAAUUAAGGAUCGUGUGACUAGUUCACUCUACGUCGUACAGGUUUUAUGUGCAAACCGACUUCCCCAGUUCAGUAAAAACAGCGAGGAAUAAAUUUGAGAGAUGACAUUUUGUAAAGAACCGCAUCUUGAACGGAACCAAUGCGAUUAUUACAAUCGAUGGCUACACAAAGACUGAAGAUUGUGCCGGGAUUUUGAAUCCUUACUCAAAGAAGUACACGAGCAUUUUAAUUAUGUGGCUAUAAAAAUUGUGCAUACAUUAUAAGAUCUUCAAAGAAUUGUAGUCAUGUUUCAAAAAUAAAUAAAAAAAUCAUUUCGUUUCUCUUCAGAA
Molecule: long non-coding RNA, 487 nt
Filed under: Limulus polyphemus (Atlantic horseshoe crab)
Lineage: Eukaryota; Metazoa; Arthropoda; Merostomata; Xiphosura; Limulidae
Description: uncharacterized LOC111089419, transcript variant X1
Source: RNAcentral